GGACAGAUUCAGGGCUCCUAGUGGAUCACCAGCUGACGCAUGGAUGUCACCAGGUAGAAAAGGAAGAACACAGAGGCGAAGCCAUUUGUUUGACCCCAACGUCUGUGGCUUUAAACUCACAAUUAUACAUACUUCAGUCAAGUGAAUGGAAAAUAUUCUG
RNAcentral lists this long non-coding RNA (160 nucleotides) under Mustela putorius furo (domestic ferret). RNAcentral's name for it is "lncRNA (ENSMPUG00000028490.1)". The record is from RNAcentral. Lineage: Eukaryota; Metazoa; Chordata; Mammalia; Carnivora; Mustelidae.